CGUCGCGUAGCUCAGUCGGCCCGAGCGCUCGCCUCAUAAGCGAGAGGACGGCGGUUCGAGUCCGCCCAUGACAA
This 74-nucleotide transfer RNA is filed under the name Variovorax sp. CF079. It matches the Rfam family "tRNA". Rfam says of the family: Transfer RNA (tRNA) molecules are approximately 80 nucleotides in length. Their secondary structure includes four short double-helical elements and three loops (D, anti-codon, and T loops). Lineage: Bacteria; Pseudomonadati; Pseudomonadota; Betaproteobacteria; Burkholderiales; Comamonadaceae. The record is from Rfam by way of RNAcentral.